Molecule: ribosomal RNA, 636 nt
Filed under: Smittia aterrima
Lineage: Eukaryota; Metazoa; Arthropoda; Insecta; Diptera; Chironomidae
Description: eukaryotic LSU rRNA
Rfam family: Eukaryotic large subunit ribosomal RNA
Source: RNAcentral
UAUCUAAACGGGNAGAUUNNAUAUUGUCUUNNCGGNCAAUGUGCACUUCUUCCUUAGUAAGACGCUGUGAUCCAUUAGAAAUUGACCNUUCCAAUGGUUAUUUGGCUAUCAAUAGGGCGGCAUGAAGUUCAUCAAUGCAAAUAACUCGAUCUUUAAUGGCUGGGUAUAUUGUUUGGCGAGCGUGUCGUUUUCUGUCUAUAGCUGUCUGAUGGAUUUUAAAGGCCAUAUUAUUGGUGUUUCGGCACCACUCACAUGUGAGAAUGAAUAUGUGCCCGAUCAACAGCGGUUAAAUUUGGGAUACCUUUUGGACCCGUCUUGAAACACGGACCAAGGAGUCUAUCUAGUAUGCAAGUAAAUGAGUAUAUGAAACUUAUUUGCAUAAAAAACUUGACUGUUAUGGGACUACGAGUAGCAUUUCGGUGCUGCUCCUCCAUCCCGGGGUAUUUUCAUCAAAAUAUGGCAACAUAUUGAAAAUAUACCAUGAGCAUACUGGAUAUGACCCGAAAGAUGGUGAACUAUGCCUGAUCAGGUUGAAGUCAGGGGAAACCCUGAUGGAGGACCGAAGCAAUUCUGACGUGCAAAUCGAUUGUCAGAAUUGGGCAUAGGGGCGAAAGACCAAUCGAACCAUCUAGUAGC